CCAAUCGAACUCGGAUAUAGCUGGUUCUCCUCGAAAUAGCUUUAGGGCUAGCCUCAAGGUAAAGAUACACGGGGGUAGAGCACUGACUGUUCGCGGGGCCUUCACCGGUUACCAACAACUAUCAAACUCCGAAUACCGUGCUAUCAUACUUGGGAGUCAGACUAUGAGAGAUAAGUUCCAUGGUCGAAAGGGAAACAGCCCAGAUCAACAGCUAAGGUCCCAAAGAGUAAGUUAAGUGGAAAAGGAUGUGGGAUUGCACAAACAGCUAGGAUGUUGGCUUAGAAGCAGCCAUACAUUUAAAGAGUGCGUAAUAGCUCACUAGUCGAGUGAUCCUGCGCCGAAGAUAAACGGGGCUCAAACUUACCACCGAAGCUUUGGAAUUAGUAUAACUAAUUGGUAGAGGAGCAUUCUAUACAGGUAGAAGGAGGCGCGUAAGCAAAUCUGGACGGUAUAGAAGAGAGAAUGUUGGCAUGAGUAGCGUAAGGCGGGUGAGAAUCCCGUCCGCCGAAAAUCUAAGGUUUCCUGAGGAAGGUUCGUCCUCUCAGGGUAAGUCGGGACCUAAGCCGAGAGCGAACGCUGUAGGCGAUGGACAACAGGUUGAUAUUCCUGUACCACCAAGGAUUGUUUGAAUGAAGUGGGGACACAGAAGGAUAGAUUGAGCACGCCGUUGGUUGAGCGUGUCCAAGCAGCAAGGCUUGAAAGUAGGCAAAUCCGCUUUCUACAAGGCUGAGCUGUGAUGGGGUGGUCGAAUGACCGGUAGCAAUCGAUUUCACGCUGUCAAGAAAAGCCGCUAAUGAGAUCCAAGGUGCCCGUACCGCAAACCGACACAGGUAGAUGAGGAGAGAAUCCUAAGGUGAGCGAGCGAACUAUUGUUAAGGAACUCGGCAAAAUAACCCCGUAACUUCGGGAGAAGGGGUGCCUGCUUCGGCAGGCCGCAGUGAAGAGGUCCAGGCAACUGUUUACCAAAAACACAGGUCUCUGCUAAAGCGAAAGCUGAUGUAUAGGGGCUGACGCCUGCCCGGUGCUGGAAGGUUAAGGGGAAGUGUUAGGGCAACCGAAGCACAGAACUUAAGCCCCAGUAAACGGCGGCCGUAACUAUAACGGUCCUAAGGUAGCGAAAUUCCUUGUCGGGUAAGUUCCGACCCGCACGAAAGGCGUAAUGAUCUGGACGCUGUCUCAACAAUAGGCUCGGUGAAAUUGUAGUACCGGUAAAGAUGCCGGUUACCCGCAGCAGGACGGAAAGACCCCGUGGAGCUUCACUGUAGCUUGAUAUUGAUUUUCGGCAUUGCAUGUACAGGAUAGGUGGGAGACGUUGAGUUCAGCACGCCAGUGUUGGAGGAGUCACCGUUGGGAUACCACCCUUGUAAUGUUGGAAAUCUAACCUAGUACCGUGAUCCGGUACAGGGACAGUGUCAGGUGGGCAGUUUGACUGGGGCGGUCGCCUCCUAAAGAGUAACGGAGGCGCCCAAAGGUUCCCUCAGAGCGGACGGAAAUCGCUCGAAGAGUGUAAAGGCAGAAGGGAGCUUGACUGCGAGACCAACAAGUCGAGCAGGGACGAAAGUCGGGCUUAGUGAUCCGGUGGUUCCGAGUGGAAGGGCCAUCGCUCAACGGAUAAAAGCUACCCCGGGGAUAACAGGCU
Molecule: ribosomal RNA, 1639 nt
Filed under: human oral metagenome
Description: bacterial LSU rRNA
Rfam family: Bacterial large subunit ribosomal RNA
Source: RNAcentral